GAAUCAAUUCAAAUCCUUACUUACUUGAAUGCGGCAAGAGGACUGGAGCAAAGAUGCUAUUGCUGCCUAUUGGAAUGAGAAAAAUUAAUUUGAAAAGAAAGGACAAUCAAGACCAUGUUCCUUUGCUAUGGGAGAAAAGCCAGUUGAGAUGCAGGAAGUUUCCACAGCAGCCUGGUAGAGAAGUCAAUAUGGAUAGUAAAUGAGGAUAUUCUCCACUCUUUAUGAUUUCUGUUCUAGCUCCUGAAAUAGCUCUGCAUAUUGAUCUCUAUAUCCCAGAUCUAGAACGUGCCAGAUUCUUUUAGCCAAUUAGUAUGUGCAAUAAUAUUCUAUAAAAGAUUUCUACAUUAAGGAAUGACUGAAAGAACUCAAAAAAACAGAAGAUAAUCUAAUACAAGCUUCAAUGAACAGAUUUUGAAGGACUGGAAAAUUAUUUCAUCAUGUGCUUUAUGAAAGGAUUCUAGAAUUUACAAUUCUAGAUAAGAUGGUGAGAUAUUUUAGUUGCUUUAUUAAAAAAAAGGAACAUUCAAUUUGAGUUUACCUGAAAGUGUAGAGCCACUGCAGGUCUGG
Molecule: long non-coding RNA, 567 nt
Organism: Canis lupus familiaris (dog)
Lineage: Eukaryota; Metazoa; Chordata; Mammalia; Carnivora; Canidae
Exons: 3
Source: RefSeq, a predicted model, not a curated record